Long non-coding RNA from Homo sapiens (human), 1595 nucleotides. The record is from Ensembl. Lineage: Eukaryota; Metazoa; Chordata; Mammalia; Primates; Hominidae.
AUCCCGGCAGCCACCGCGGCGACUUGGCGGCGGGUGCCAUGCGUCUGGAGCUUCACAUUCUCUGCCCCCCACCCACCGCGCCGGCGCUCCCUUGUCACGCCUCGGGAAGCGCGCACCUGCCAAGCAGUUCUAUUUCAAUCCAGAAAGUCAGCAACUUUGAACUUUCUCUUCCGUCUGUGAAAACCUAUUGGUUUCCAAGAUUACUGAGAAAGAAGAAAGUACUGAGGAGCCUUAUGAUGAAUAAUCUGAUAUCAUGUGAAAUGAGGAAAUAAGAAGCUUUCUGCUGACUUCAUUUUGACCCAGGGUCCAAAAGGUGAUGUAAUCCUGUGGCAAGAAGAUUCAAAACUGUGGACUAUCUUGCAAAAAAUACAAGAAGAUAUUGAAAGUUUUCAUGAGUGCCUACCACCUAAUCUCAAACACUAUCAUUCAUAUGUGCCUCAUUGAGCAAAUCUUUAAUGAGGAUCUAUAUGCCAGCAAUAUCUUUUGCUUGGGAGCAGAAACAGAAAGUACAUGAUGGACUUCAUUGAAGGAUGGAGAUUUGGAAGACAUGAAUGGAUGAAGAACCAAGUGCGUGAGGGCACCUAUCAGGAUUAUUGCUGAAAUCCUUAUGGAGUUAACUGGCUGAGAGGAAGGCAAGCAAGCGAGGACUGAUGGGCCCUUGGCACUGUGAGAACAGUGGAGGAGGAGGGAGCAGGGUUCAUAAGGAGGAGCACAAACAGAAAGUUCAGUGGCCCCAAUAAAAAUAACACCAGAAUCUUCCAGAUACUUUCUCCAUAAGGCGAAAAGUAGAGAUGGGGUUUCACCAUGUUGCCCAGGCUGGUCUCAAACUCCUGAGCUCAGGCCAUCUGCCCGCCUCGGCCUCCCAAAGUGCUAGGAUUACAGAAGGUGCCUGCUUCCCCUUCACCUUCCACCAUGAUUGUAAGUUUCCUGAGGCCUCCCCAGACAUGUGGAACUAACAGGUUUCUCUUAUUGCCUGGAUCCAAGAGCAUCUCCUGGGUUCUUCCUGUUAGAAUACUGAAUGUCCAUGGAGAGUUUAACAUAAGGAAGAAGAGGCCUGUCUCCCAGCUGAAACUGGUGCAGCAGAUCAUGCAAAGUAAAACCUCAGCAGCUGUGAUGAAGUAGAGCAGAGGGCCUGGGUGUCUGUCAGCUCCAAGCGGAAGAUUUCCCCAGCUUUCUAGGUAACUGUGCUUCCACUGAGCAAGCCAGACACAGACUUGAAUGUCAUCACAAUCUGUGCCUGUGACAUCUUUCCCCAAGAAUAGCACAAAUUGAACUUUUACAUUCUUCAUAAUAUGGAAGGAAAGAUUUCUGACUUCAUAUCUGUGGGAUCCACACAAUGGGGAGGUACUGGCCUUGGAAUCCAUGGUUCCCCAGCUAUCAUUUUACUUUAGAAUUACAGUGUUCUCUGUUAGUGUCAAGGGAAUGAACCUGACGAGAAAAGACCAAACAUAGGACUGUUACAGGGAAGAAAAAUAUGAAAAGACCUAAAGAUGCACGUCCUCAUUAUAUGUAAGGAAUCUAUUUCCUAGAAUCCUAUAAAAAGCUCAAGUGAAUUUGCUUCAGUUAAUAAAUGUGAUUUAAUUAUAAUGAUAAUG